UGUUGGUUCUCCCGCAACGCUACUCUGUUUACCAGGUCAGGUCCGGAAGGAAGCAGCCAAGGCAGAUGCCGCGUGUGCCGGGAUGUAGCUGGCAGGG
This 97-nucleotide signal recognition particle RNA is filed under the name Escherichia coli. RNAcentral's name for it is "signal recognition particle sRNA small type". It matches the Rfam family "Bacterial small signal recognition particle RNA". From Rfam's summary of the family: The signal recognition particle (SRP) is a universally conserved ribonucleoprotein involved in the co-translational targeting of proteins to membranes. The record is from RNAcentral. Lineage: Bacteria; Pseudomonadati; Pseudomonadota; Gammaproteobacteria; Enterobacterales; Enterobacteriaceae.